AAUCACUGUUAAAUUGUGAAUUUCUUCAUAAUGCAGUUGGUUCUCAUUUAUACCCUCAGAAUCCAGUCCUCCGCCUUGGAAGUCAGCUCAACUUCAGUGUAGAAGAAAAUUACAAAUUAUAUGAAGAAGUUGGAGAAGGUGUCAGCGCCACUGUUCACCGGGCUCUCAGCAUUCCUUUGUGUUGACUGGGAUUUGGGAAUGUAUCCUGCUCAAAAUUGUCUUUGUUGUACAUGAACCUAUUAUGAUUAAUUGAAUACGAAUCCCUAUUCUGCAGUGUAAUGAUGUGU
Camellia sinensis is the source of this 287-nucleotide non-coding RNA. The record is from RefSeq and is a predicted model, not a curated record. NCBI's taxonomy places the organism in Eukaryota, Viridiplantae, Streptophyta, Magnoliopsida, Ericales, Theaceae.